UACGUAGGGUGCGAGCGUUUAAUCGGAAUUACUGGGCGUAAAGCGUGCGCAGGCGGUUAUGUAAGACAGGUGUGAAAUCCCCGGGCUUAACCUGGGAACUGCAUUUGUGACUGCAUAGCUAGAGUACGGUAGAGGGGGAUGGAAUUCCGCGUGUAGCAGUGAAAUGCGUAGAUAUGCGGAGGAACACCGAUGGCGAAGGCAAUCCCCUGGACCUGUACUGACGCUCAUGCACGAAAGCGUGGGGAGCAAACAGG
This 254-nucleotide ribosomal RNA is filed under the name uncultured bacterium. RNAcentral describes it as "partial 16S ribosomal RNA". It matches the Rfam family "Bacterial small subunit ribosomal RNA", at positions 524 to 776 of the family's 1533-position model. The record is from RNAcentral.